GUUGUUGGGUAGGGGAGCGUUCUGUAAGCUGUUGAAGGUGGCCUGUGAGGGUUGCUGGAGGUAUCAGAAGUGCGAAUGCUGACAUAAGUAACGAUAAUGCGGGUGAAAAACCCGCACGCCGGAAGACCAAGGGUUCCUGUCCAACGUUAAUCGGGGCAGGGUGAGUCGACCCCUAAGGCGAGGCCGAAAGGCGUAGUCGAUGGGAAACAGGUUAAUAUUCCUGUACUUGGUGUUACUGCGAAGGGGGGACGGAGAAGGCUAUGUUGGCCGGGCGACGGUUGUCCCGGUUUAAGCAUGUAGGCGGAUGUUCCAGGUAAAUCCGGAACGUCACUAACGCUGAGGUGUGAUGACGAGGCACUACGGUGCUGAAGUGACAAAUGCCCUGCUUCCAGGAAAAGCCUCUAAGCAUCAGGUAACAUCAAAUCGUACCCCAAACCGACACAGGUGGUCAGGUAGAGAAUACCAAGGCGCUUGAGAGAACUCGGGUGAAGGAACUAGGCAAAAUGGUGCCGUAACUUCGGGAGAAGGCACGCUGAUGGUAAGUGAAGUGACUUGCUCAUGGAGCUGAAAUCAGUCGAAGAUACCAGCUGGCUGCAACUGUUUAUUAAAAACACAGCACUGUGCAAACACGAAAGUGGACGUAUACGGUGUGACGCCUGCCCGGUGCCGGAAGGUUAAUUGAUGGGGUUAUCCUCGCGGAGAAGCUCUUGAUCGAAGCCCCGGUAAACGGCGGCCGUAACUAUAACGGUCCUAAGGUAGCGAAAUUCCUUGUCGGGUAAGUUCCGACCUGCACGAAUGGCGUAAUGAUGGCCAGGCUGUCUCCACCCGAGACUCAGUGAAAUUGAACUCGCUGUGAAGAUGCAGUGUACCCGCGGCAAGACGGAAAGACCCCGUGAACCUUUACUAUAGCUUGACACUGAACACUGGUCCUUGAUGUGUAGGAUAGGUGGGAGGCUUUGAAGUGUGGACGCCAGUCUGCAUGGAGCCAUCCUUGAAAUACCACCCUUUAAUGGCUGGUGUUCUAACGUGGGCCC
Molecule: ribosomal RNA, 1034 nt
Filed under: Klebsiella oxytoca 11492-1
Lineage: Bacteria; Pseudomonadati; Pseudomonadota; Gammaproteobacteria; Enterobacterales; Enterobacteriaceae
Description: bacterial LSU rRNA
Rfam family: Bacterial large subunit ribosomal RNA
Source: RNAcentral